AGCCUCUAGAUAGAAAAUAGGUGCCCGUACCGCAAACCGACACAGGUAGUCAAGAUGAGAAUUCUAAGGGGAGCGAGCGAACUCUCGUUAAGGAACUCGGCAAAAUGACCCCGUAACUUCGGGAGAAGGGGUGCUCUUUAGGGUUAACGCCCAGAAGAGCCGCAGUGAAUAGGCCCAAGCGACUGUUUAUCAAAAACACAGGUCUCUGCUAAACCGUAAGGUGAUGUAUAGGGGCUGACGCCUGCCCGGUGCUGGAAGGUUAAGAGGAGUGGUUAGCUUCUGCGAAGCUACGAAUCGAAGCCCCAGUAAACGGCGGCCGUAACUAUAACGGUCCUAAGGUAGCGAAAUUCCUUGUCGGGUAAGUUCCGACCCGCACGAAAGGCGUAACGAUUUGGGCACUGUCUCAACGAGAGACUCGGUGAAAUCAUAGUACCUGUGAAGAUGCAGGUUACCCGCGACAGGACGGAAAGACCCCGUGGAGCUUUACUGUAGCCUGAUAUUGAAAUUCGGCACAGCUUGUACAGGAUAGGUAGGAGCCUUUGAAACGUGAGCGCUAGCUUACGUGGAGGCGCUGGUGGGAUACUACCCUAGCUGUG
This 596-nucleotide ribosomal RNA is filed under the name Staphylococcus aureus. RNAcentral's name for it is "partial 23S ribosomal RNA". It matches the Rfam family "Bacterial large subunit ribosomal RNA", at positions 1616 to 2213 of the family's 2925-position model. The record is from RNAcentral. Lineage: Bacteria; Bacillati; Bacillota; Bacilli; Caryophanales; Staphylococcaceae.